This is a long non-coding RNA of Drosophila biarmipes, 1014 nucleotides long. RefSeq lists it as uncharacterized. NCBI's taxonomy places the organism in Eukaryota, Metazoa, Arthropoda, Insecta, Diptera, Drosophilidae. The record is from RefSeq and is a predicted model, not a curated record. The transcript has 6 exons.
AUCUGUUGAAAACAGCAUUGGAAACAAAGCAAUCGGAUAUAUGUUGAGUGCGGUAGACAGAUUUAAGAGUUUAAGCCAUUUGUGUGCGUUAGGUAUUGAUACAUUUUAAAUACAUUUUGGAAAACAAAAAUUUUCUACCAAAAAACUGUGGCCAACUGUGGGCAGUUUGUCGGCUUUGGAGUGGGUGUGGCACAUUUUGAUAAGGCACUACAGAUUUUGGCGGAUUGUGGACUUGGCACCCCACUAAAACAAACUUGCACUCCGCAGGAAGCCCAGGAAUCGUGCAGCCAAGUCUGAAUGAUAGGUACAUGGACGGAUCCACCUAUACUCGUACGUGCGUCCAAAGAUGAACAAUCGCACAGUGCAGCCACGCCUACUAUGACAUCCACAAUCCGCGAGAAUCCCACGACCUCAACCUCCACGCAAUGACACCAGAACUAGGCAAUGAAAAAGGGAUUUCUGCACGCCAUUUUCAGUUUUGACAGGCGCAAAAUUCAUUUUGGAGCUGUAGGUAAAACGCGUUAACAGUGUUUCUUCUUUCGUCAUCAAAAGUUCCAAGCUUUGUUCCAGCGAAUUGCAAGAAGAGACAGUCGCACGUUUCCCAAUACAAAUUCAGGAUUUCAAAAUCGUUCACCAUAACUCGUAAUCAAAUAUGUGCCUCUGACCGCAAUAAAGGGUCUGUCAGAGACCCGAAAAGGGGUAUUACUGGCCACAAUAAAAGGGACACAGGAAAGUCUGUAGGCGCGCACGCUCAUUAACAUGAUAACAGCUUCAUUCCAGCGAAUUGCCAGAAGAGACAGUCGCACGUUUCCCAAUGCUAAUUCAGGAUUUCAAAAUCGUGCACCAUAACUCGUAAACAAACAUGUGUCCCUGCCCGCAAUAAAGGUUCUGUAGGCGCGCAUACUAAUCCUUACCAAGUUCCAUCAAGGAGGUUAAACUCACCGAAAACUCACAAGUAUACCUGUUAUUUAAACUCGAAAAAUAAAGUCAGAAGAUCAUUUUGUAGCAUACUAA